CUUCCUAUUUAUUUGCUGCUAUAGUCUUUUCAAUGGUAUGAGCAGUUGUAUGCAUGGGUAAAGUAACAUCAGGCCAUUGUAAACUGAAAUGGAAUAACCGUUUAACCUCUUCUGCAUGCAAAGUCCAGACAUUG
Small nucleolar RNA from Artibeus jamaicensis (Jamaican fruit-eating bat), 134 nucleotides. RefSeq annotates it as small nucleolar RNA SNORA20. NCBI's taxonomy places the organism in Eukaryota, Metazoa, Chordata, Mammalia, Chiroptera, Phyllostomidae. The record is from RefSeq and is a predicted model, not a curated record. The transcript has a single exon.